This 696-nucleotide ribosomal RNA is filed under the name bacterium SVAL1.34. RNAcentral's name for it is "bacterial SSU rRNA". It matches the Rfam family "Bacterial small subunit ribosomal RNA", at positions 56 to 799 of the family's 1533-position model. The record is from RNAcentral.
UGCAGUCGAGCGAGACCUUCGGGUCUAGCGGCGGACGGGUUAGUAACGCGUGGGAAUAUACCCUUCACUACGGAAUAGCCUCGGGAAACUGGGAGUAAUACCGUAUACGCCCUUUGGGGGAAAGAUUUAUCGGUGAAGGAUUAGCCCGCGUCUGAUUAGAUAGUUGGUGGGGUAAUGGCCUACCAAGUCUACGAUCAGUAGCUGGUUUGAGAGGAUGAUCAGCAACACUGGGACUGAGACACGGCCCAGACUCCUACGGGAGGCAGCAGUGGGGAAUCUUAGACAAUGGGCGCAAGCCUGAUCUAGCCAUGCCGCGUGAGUGACGAAGGCCUUAGGGUCGUAAAGCUCUUUCGCCAGAGAUGAUAAUGACAGUAUCUGGUAAAGAAACCCCGGCUAACUCCGUGCCAGCAGCCGCGGUAAUACGGAGGGGGUUAGCGUUGUUCGGAAUUACUGGGCGUAAAGCGCACGUAGGCGGAUUGGAAAGUAUGGGGUGAAAUCCCAGGGCUCAACCCUGGAACUGCCUUGUAAACUCCCAGUCUAGAGUUCGAGAGAGGUGAGUGGAAUUCCAAGUGUAGAGGUGAAAUUCGUAGAUAUUUGGAGGAACACCAGUGGCGAAGGCGGCUCACUGGCUCGAUACUGACGCUGAGGUGCGAAAGUGUGGGGAGCAAACAGGAUUAGAUACCCUGGUAGUCCACA